This 669-nucleotide long non-coding RNA is filed under the name Homo sapiens (human). Its description in RNAcentral is "HSALNT0322703". Lineage: Eukaryota; Metazoa; Chordata; Mammalia; Primates; Hominidae. The record is from RNAcentral.
UUAAAUAGAGAAGAGAUAAGAAAAAUCUGUGUUGGAAACCAAUGGUACACACACUGCUUCAGGUACUUGAGGAUUGCUCGAUUUAGGCAUUUUCCUAGUGCGUAUUUGGAAUAUAUUUUUCUGCUUUCUGAGGCUCUCUUCAGUUUUGCUCCCUGGCUUUUGAGAAACAGACUAAUUUGUUUUCUUUACUGGCUGAACAUGGAGCAAGUCCAGGGUAGGAGUGGUAUGAUUACGGGUUUGUCCUUAAUUCUUAGCCUCUCCUUUAAGCAGUAAGGGAAGAAGUCACCACACAUCCCAGCUGGAGGAGGGAACAUGACUGGCUCACUUCAGCACCCUCACCAUUGUUCCAGAUAUCCAAGGCCCUCCUUGGACCUCAACAAGACUUAAGCCGCUGCAGAGACGGUGUAAAUGUGGAGUGGCUGGUUGGGGACAGAGUGAAACUCCUGGAAUCAGAUGGUGAUCUGCUGAUAAGCUGGGUCUGUGCCAGCCAGCAGAGUCCAUGCGUGCAAGAGCCUGGAGUCUCCCCCUGUGAAGGCUUGGGGCUGGUUGGGCAGUAAGCCUCACAGUAAUCCUUAGUCCUGUUAGAUGGGAGUUCUAAAUUUAUUUUCAAAGAAUUAAUAUGUCAGUAUGUUCAAUUCUUUGCCUUCUACUUUUAAACUUAACUUCCUC